AACGAACGCUGGCGGCGCGCCUAACACAUGCAAGUCGAACGCGAAAGUGUAGCAAUACAUGAGUAAAGUGGCGCACGGGUGAGUAACGCGUAGGUGAUCUACCUUUGUGAUCGGGAUAACCAGCCGAAAGGUUGGCUAAUACUGGAUAGAGCGCAUUCAUCGUAAAGAUGAGUGCGGGAAAUGAGGGCGUAGCAAUACGCUCUUGCACUAAGAUGAGCCUGCGUCUCAUUAGCUAGUUGGUAGGGUAAAGGCCUACCAAGGCAUUGAUGGGUAGCUGGUCUGAGAGGACGAUCAGCCACACUGGAACUGAAACACGGUCCAGACUCCUACGGGAGGCAGCAGUGGGGAAUCUUGCGCAAUGGACGAAAGUCUGACGCAGCGACGCCGCGUGAGUGAAGAAGGCCUUCGGGUUGUAAGGACUCUGUCGAGUGGGAAAAGUAGGUA
RNAcentral lists this ribosomal RNA (444 nucleotides) under uncultured bacterium. RNAcentral describes it as "bacterial SSU rRNA". It matches the Rfam family "Bacterial small subunit ribosomal RNA", at positions 29 to 455 of the family's 1533-position model. The record is from RNAcentral.